AAAAUGCAUUACGGGUGUUCACUUGUCCUCGCUCUUCUACCUGGGUAGUCUGAGCAGACAUUUGAUCUGAGAUCAUACCGUUGGAACCUGAACAGGGUAAAUCCUGCGAUAGGGACAAUGCAAUCCUCCUUCA
RNAcentral lists this non-coding RNA (133 nucleotides) under Pseudocercospora fijiensis CIRAD86. Its description in RNAcentral is "TPP riboswitch aptamer (THI element)". It matches the Rfam family "TPP riboswitch aptamer (THI element)". From Rfam's summary of the family: Vitamin B(1) in its active form thiamin pyrophosphate (TPP) is an essential coenzyme that is synthesised by coupling of pyrimidine and thiazole moieties in bacteria. The record is from Rfam by way of RNAcentral. RNAcentral also lists the same sequence under 1 other name. Lineage: Eukaryota; Fungi; Ascomycota; Dothideomycetes; Mycosphaerellales; Mycosphaerellaceae.